This 227-nucleotide ribosomal RNA is filed under the name uncultured bacterium. RNAcentral describes it as "partial 16S ribosomal RNA". It matches the Rfam family "Bacterial small subunit ribosomal RNA", at positions 565 to 793 of the family's 1533-position model. The record is from RNAcentral.
GCGCAUGCAGGUGGUUUGUUAAGUCAGAUGUGAAAGCCCGGGGCUCAACCUCGGAAUUGCAUUUGAAACUGGCAAACUAGAGUACUGUAGAGGGGGUAGAAUUUCAGGUGUAGCGGUGAAAUGCGUAGAGAUCUGAAGGAAUACCGGUGGCGAAGGCGGCCCCCUGGACAGAUACUGACACUCAGAUGCGAAAGCGUGGGGAGCAAACAGGAUUAAUACCCUGGUAG